AUACGUAGGGGGCGAGCGUUGUCCGGAAUGAUUGGGCGUAAAGGGCGCGUAGGCGGCCUGUUAAGUCUGGAGUGAAAGUCCUGUUUUCAAGAUGGGAAUUGCUUUGGAUACUGAUGGGCUUGAGUGCGGAAGAGGUAAGUGGAAUUCCCAGUGUAGCGGUGAAAUGCGUAGAGAUUGGGAGGAACACCAGUGGCGAAGGCGACUUACUGGGCCGUAACUGACGCUGAGGCGCGAAAGCGUGGGGAGCGAACAGGAUUAGAUACCCUGGUAGUCCACGCUGUAAACGAUGAAUGCUAGGUGUAGGGGGUAUCGACCCCUCCUGUGCCGGAGUAAACGCAAUAAGCAUUCCGCCUGGGGAGUACGGCCGCAAGGUUGAAACUCAAAUGAAUUGACGGGG
This 397-nucleotide ribosomal RNA is filed under the name uncultured bacterium. RNAcentral describes it as "partial 16S ribosomal RNA". It matches the Rfam family "Bacterial small subunit ribosomal RNA", at positions 523 to 918 of the family's 1533-position model. The record is from RNAcentral.